This 116-nucleotide ribosomal RNA is filed under the name Hortaea werneckii EXF-2000. The record is from RNAcentral. Lineage: Eukaryota; Fungi; Ascomycota; Dothideomycetes; Mycosphaerellales; Teratosphaeriaceae.
AGCAACGGCUACAUGUUACAGAAAACAGAGGAUCCCGUCCGCUCUCCUGUACUUAAGCUGUAAAUCGGCAGAUUAGUAUUAACGUGGGAAUAUGAGAAUCCCUGCUGCUGCUGUUU